AUUGAACGCUGGCGGCAUGCUUUACACAUGCAAGUCGAACGGUAACAGGCCGCAAGGUGCUGACGAGUGGCGCACGGGUGAGUAAUGCAUCGGAACGUGCCCAGUCGUGGGGGAUAACUACUCGAAAGAGUAGCUAAUACCGCAUACGAUCUAUGGAUGAAAGCGGGGGACCGUAAGGCCUCGCGCGAUUGGAGCAGCCGAUGUCAGAUUAGGUAGUUGGUGGGGUAAAGGCUCACCAAGCCAACGAUCUGUAGCUGGUCUGAGAGGACGACCAGCCACACUGGGACUGAGACACGGCCCAGACUCCUACGGGAGGCAGCAGUGGGGAAUUUUGGACAAUGGGCGCAAGCCUGAUCCAGCAAUGCCGCGUGAAGGAAGAAGGCCUUCGGGUUGUAAACUGCUUUUGUACGGAACGAAACGGCUCUGGUUAAUACCCGGGGCUAAUGACGGUACCGUAAGAAUAAGCACCGGCUAACUACGUG
RNAcentral lists this ribosomal RNA (482 nucleotides) under uncultured bacterium. Its description in RNAcentral is "partial 16S ribosomal RNA". It matches the Rfam family "Bacterial small subunit ribosomal RNA", at positions 30 to 507 of the family's 1533-position model. The record is from RNAcentral.